AUGCCCAAACUCUGUCCCAAAGCUGUAGAUAAAAGCAAAAUGAAAGAUCUGAAGGCAGACCAUCUCAGACAAAGAAAAUCACAACACUGCUGUACUUGCAAGGCCUGCAGCACGUUUCUCCAAGCCUCAGGAGUGGGACUUCUCCCAACAGAUUUCAUUUGCACAGUAGGCAAACCCACAGCAGAUAAAAAUAAUCCCAAUGCAGACUCAUUGUCCAAAAAGGACCUGGAUAAUUCAGCAAAUCUUUCAUGUGUGAAUGUAAUGACGUCCUACAGUGUUUCUGAAGCCAAGGAUAAACAAGUAGAGAGAUGUCCUGAAAUUCCAUCCUGCAUUUAAGGAGAAAACACGCCUUGGUUUCUGGGGAAAGGACCCUUAAAUGGGAAGCAGGGAGUGAUUAACAAGAUUUUCUGUCAAUAAAAGUAUCUUCUGGAGUGUCA
Molecule: long non-coding RNA, 437 nt
Filed under: Cyanistes caeruleus (blue tit)
Lineage: Eukaryota; Metazoa; Chordata; Aves; Passeriformes; Paridae
Description: lncRNA (ENSCCEG00000017852.1)
Source: RNAcentral